GAGGCCAAUCUGUAUUGACACUGACUUGCAAAUAGUGCGAGCUGUUACAUGGGUUGGGCGCUCGUCAAUGGAGAUCCACCUGGAAGUAACUCAGUCCACAGAAGGAUGAGAACAUACAUUUCCACCUGCUGCCACUAAACAGUUGCAGGAGUCACGUUACUCUUGAUCCUGAAGGAUGGUGUCACUUUGAUCUCCAUGCCUUAAAUGUGUGUUUAUUCUUUUCAAACCAUAUUUACUCCUGCAUGUUUACUUUACUC
Long non-coding RNA from Eucalyptus grandis, 257 nucleotides. RefSeq lists it as uncharacterized. NCBI's taxonomy places the organism in Eukaryota, Viridiplantae, Streptophyta, Magnoliopsida, Myrtales, Myrtaceae. The record is from RefSeq and is a predicted model, not a curated record. The transcript has 2 exons.